Molecule: ribosomal RNA, 460 nt
Filed under: uncultured bacterium
Lineage: Bacteria
Description: partial 16S ribosomal RNA
Rfam family: Bacterial small subunit ribosomal RNA
Source: RNAcentral
CCUACGGGUGGCAGCAGUGAGGAAUAUUGGUCAAUGGGCGCGAGCCUGAACCAGCCAAGUAGCGUGAAGGAUGACUGCCCUACGGGUUGUAAACUUCUUUUAUAAAGGAAUAAAGUGAGGCAAGUGUGCCUUUUUGUAUGUACUUUAUGAAUAAGGAUCGGCUAACUCCGUGCCAGCAGCUGCGGUAAUACGGAGGAUACGAGCGUUAUCCGGAUUUAUUGGGAUUAAAGGGAGCGUAGAUGGGUUGUUAAGUCAGUUGUGAAAGUUUUCGGCUCAACCGUAAAAUUGCAAUUGAUAAUGGCAGCCUUGAGUACAGUUGGGGUAGGCGGAAUUCGUGGUGUAGCGGUGGAAUGCUUAGAUAUCACGAAGAACUCCGAUGGCGAAGGCAGCCUACUAAACUGCCACUGACAUUGAGGCUCGAAAGUGUGGGUAUCAAACAGGAUUAGAUACCCGGGUAGUC